AUGGGAAAUAAGCAAGACGAACUCCAACUCCUAGCACAGCACCACACAUACGAUGUCAUAGGCAUCACUGAAGCCUGGUGGGAUGACUCCCAUCACUGGAAUUUAACCAUUGAGGGCUAUAACCUCUUUCACAGAAAUAGAACAAAGGGGGGAGGAGGGGGAGUAGCUUUAUAUGUCAAAAACAGUUACGUUGCAGAAGAAAUGCAAGACUGUAAUCCGGGAAACCAGCUUGAAAGCAUCUGGAUAAGAAUCAAGGGAACCGGGACUCAAAAAGAUCUUGUCGUGGGUGUCUGCUACAGACCUCCGAGUCAGGAUGAAGGACUUGAUGAAGCCUUCUGUCAACAGCUGACCAAACAGGCACAAAGAAGAGAUAUAGUAGUCAUGGGCGAUUUCAAUUAUCCCGAUAUCUGCUGGAAAACAAACUCAGCCAAGAGUACAAAGUCCAACAAAUUCCUCACUUGCCUUGCAGAUAAUUUUAUGGUCCAGAAGGUAGAAGAGGCAACAAGGGGAUCAGCAACUCUUGAUCUAAUCUUAACAAAUGUGGAAGACCUGAUCAAUACAGUUGAAGUGGUUGGAUCCUUAGGGGCAAGUGACCAUGUGCUCCUGCAGUUUGCAAUACAAAGGAAUGCUGAAACUAAGACAAGUCAAACACGCAUUCUGGACUUUAAGAGAGCUGACUUCCAAAAAAUGAAGGAAUUACUGAGCGGCAUUCCAUGGACGCCGAUAUUAAAAAACAAGGGAGUUAAGGAUGAAUGGGAGUUUUUCAAAAGUGAAAUACUCAAGGCGCAAAUGCAAACAGUGCCAACAAAGAAGAAAAAUAAGACAAGUGCAAAGAAGCCAGAAUGGAUGUCCAAAGAACUUCUAACUGAGCUAAAGCUCAAAAGUGACAUGCACAAGAAGUGGAAAAGGGGAGAAAUCACCAAAGAAGAAUUCAAACGUAUAGCCAACACCUAUAGGGAAAAGGUUCACAAGGCUAAAGCGCAAAAUGAGCUCAGGCUUGCCAGGGACAUAAAAAACAACAAAAAAGGCUUUUUUGCUUACGUUGGUAGAAAAAGGAAGAAAAAGGAGGCGAUAGGGCCAUUGCAAGGAGAAGAUGGGGUGAUGGCGACAGGGGACAGGGAAAAGGCAGAACUACUUAAUGCCUUCUUUGCCUCGGUCUUCUCACAAAAAGAAAGCCAUCUUCAACCUCAGCAACAUGGAAUGGACGAAGGAUUGGGGGAAAUCCAACCCCAAAUAGGGAAACAAGUUGUCCAGGAACACCUGGCCACUCUAAACGAAUUCAAGUCCCCAGGGCCAGAUCAGCUACAUCCAAGAGUACUGAAGGAACUAGCGGAAGUUAUUUCAGAACCACUGGCAAUUAUCUUCGAGAGUUCUUGGAGAACGGGAGAAAUCCCAGCAGAUUGGAGGAGGGCGAAUGUGGUCCCUAUCUUCAAGAAGGGAAAAAAGUACGACCCAAACAAUUACCGUCCGGUCAGCCUCACAUCAAUACCAGGCAAAAUUCUGGAAAAGAUCAUUAAGGAAGUGGUCUGUGAACACUUAGAAACAAAUGCGGUCAUUGCUAAUAGUCAACACGGAUUUACCAAAAACAAGUCAUGCUAG
Anolis carolinensis (green anole) is the source of this 1599-nucleotide long non-coding RNA. The record is from Ensembl. Lineage: Eukaryota; Metazoa; Chordata; Lepidosauria; Squamata; Anolidae.